Long non-coding RNA from Phyllostomus discolor (pale spear-nosed bat), 3281 nucleotides. RefSeq lists it as uncharacterized. The record is from RefSeq and is a predicted model, not a curated record. NCBI's taxonomy places the organism in Eukaryota, Metazoa, Chordata, Mammalia, Chiroptera, Phyllostomidae. The transcript is spliced from 2 exons.
GACCAGGGGCCUGGCCCACAACCUAGGCAUGUGCCUUGACUGGGGAUCGAACUGGCAACCUUUGGUUUGUGGGAUGAUGUUCAACCCACUGAGCCACAUCAGUCAAGACCAAAAAUGGCAUUUUCAGUCUGCAGUUGGGAGUUUGCGAAUUCAAAGAGCUGACUGUAUACUUUGUUCAUGCCAUUUUAUAUAGGGCACUUGAGCACCCAAGGAUUUUGAUAUUCGUGGGGGAUCCUGGAACCAGUCCCCUGCAGAUACCAAGGGAGGACUAAACUUUUUGAGGACUCAAAGUUAUACUCAGACUUCUGACUGCCUGGGGGUUUAGCACCCUUAAUCCUGUGUUGUUUAAGCAUCAACUUUUGAUUUUUAAAAUGUAUUUCACCAUUUUAAAAUGAGUUUACUAGAAAAUUUAAAAGUACAUAUGUGCCUCACUUUAUAUUUCUGUUAGAUGACACUUUCUUACUCUUUGGGUAGCUAAGUUAUUAUUCUUGUAUUAUAAAUAGUUAUAGUGUUUCAAUCAUUUUCUCCAAAAUAUAAUCAUCAAGAGUAAGUUUUGAUAUUUUCUGUCUAGUAGACAUUCAGUGUCUUUGAGAAAGCAUUGUUCCAAUACAGUAGAGGAGGAAAGAAUGGCAAUGAUGAAGUUUAUGAACAGCUUCAUAAAAGCCCCUGGGUAUCUUAGAAGAUGGGCAAUUAGAAGGUAUCUUUACAUACCAGUACCAAUCAAUAUGUUCAUAUGUUGCAUUCUUACCAGUGACCAAAUCUCUGGCGAGUAUAGUCAGGUUGAUCCUGGAACAACACGGGUUUGAACUGUGUGGGUGUCCUUUUAUGUUUGUUUUUUCCCAAUAAAUAUAGUCAGCCCUUAAUAUCUGUUGGUUUCACAUUCAAGGGUUCAGCCACCUGUGGUUCUAAACAGUAAUUUUGCAUUCCCGGCAACAGCUCGAAAUAUUGUUUGCCAGGGUUCCCCUGUCUUCAUAUCCCUAUGAACACUUGUUAUCUCAUGUUUUUGAUAUUCGCCAUCCUCACGUGUAGGAAGUAAAAUCUCACUGUCAAUUGGCUUUGCAUUUCCUGAACGAUUAGUGAUGUUAAGCACCUUUUCAUGUAUGUAUUGUCUGGCCAUUUGUAUGUCUUUAGAAAAUACCUAGUUAGGUCCUUUGCCCAUUUUUUAAAUCAUGUUGCAGUUGACCCUUGAAUAACAUGGGGGUUUGCUCCAGCAGUCCAAAUUCCAUGUAUAAUGUUUGACUCCACCCAAAUUAAUUACAGUCGUCCCUCAGUUAUCCAUAGGGGAUUGGUUCCAGGUGCCCCCCACUGGUAGCAAAAUCCUCAGAUGCUGAAGUCCUUAUGUAAAAUGGCAUGGAAGAAGUCCCCUUUGUAUCUGUGGUUGACUGAUAAAUCCAUGGAUGUGAACCACUAGGAUAUGGGAGGCCAGUGUACUUACUGAAAAAGAAAAAAAAAGACUGCAUUUAUGUGGAUCUGCCCAGUUCAAGCCCAUGUUGUUCAAGGAUCAACUGUACAUGUGUUUUUGUUGUUGAGUUGUAUGAAUUCCUUAUAUAUUUUAGAUAAUAAACCUUAAUCAGGUAUAUGGAUUGUACAUUUUGUUCCCAUUUCAUGGGUUGUCUUGUUAUUUUGUUGAUGGUUUUCUUUGCUGUGCAGAGCUUUUUAGCUCUAUGUAGUCCUACUUGUUUAUAUUUGCUAUUGUUGCCUGUGCUUUUGGAUUUACUCAAAAUAUUAGGUUGCAUAAGGUCUUAGAAAGGGACGAAGAUAUAUGACAUUGUAUAAUCUCUUGGAGUAAUGUGUAUAGGAGUAUGUAAACAUUAAUAUUAAAUAUAUGUUGAGUCGGUUGCUAUUGUAAUUUUGGUGAAUGUUUUGAAAAUAUUCUUGCCAAAAGGUUAUAGAUUAUUUCAAUGUACUAGAGUUUGAGGAAGAUCAAACCAGAUCUCGCUAUCCUUUAGGAACUUUUUCACACCCACCUAGAAUUAGGCAACUUGGGGAUUGUUGACACUUUGUUUUCAAAUCACGAGGGUAGAUGCAAAGAUAGGGAUUUCGGAUUAAGAUUUAAAACCAAUUUAGAUAUUGAAGGGACCUUAGAUACUAAAUAAUAAACCAUCUUCCUCGUUUUUUUAAUUUGAAAACUGAAGAAGGCCCAAAUUGCUUAACCUGUAGUAAGUACUAGUUGUUCAAGUCAAAACCUGGGAGUUGUUUAUGAACACCUUCUUCUCCCUCAGUCCUGCAUCCAGUCUCCAUUGUUAAUCAUUUUCAGAAACUUAACUAAAAAUACAAAUUUUAUAGCUUUGUGUACAAGGCCCUAUAUAAUCUGAGUUUGCCUAUUUUUCCAGCCACAUUAUUGUCCCUCACAAGUGUUUGUUUGCUCUGGCCAUGUGGACCUUGCUUUGGUUCCUUCCCCUUCAAUUUUUUUUCUUUUACAGUUUAUCAGUUUGCAGUUAUAUAAUAUUUAUUUGCAUAUAAGCUCUUAUUAGAACAAGGAUUGACUAUUUAGUCAUCAUUUUAAUUUCCUGAGCCUAGCAGAAAUCCUGGCACAUAGCUGAUAAAUAAAUACAGGUAAGUGGAUGAGUCACUGACUGACUAGAUAUUCCUGAGCUUCCACUUCCCAUGUAUAAUUUGUAUAAUUGUACCUACCUAUGGUGAUAGAGAAUUCAGUGAGAAUAUCUGUGAUAAAUGUUUGUUUCCUUUUUCCUCUCAAUUUUCCUUCUUUUAUUCGGAAUAAUAUAGUGGAUUGUUCGAGCUGUUUUCUGAUCAGUUAAUUGUUUCUAUUACAGUUUGCAUCUGGUGUUUGUAAUUCAAUUUGUUGAAAACUUAAGUAGCUGUACUGUACUAGAGGAUGGAGGGUAGGAGGGCAGGGCUAGAACGAUAUAUACAUACUGAUUAAAUGAAGAGUAAGAUAAUCACAUAGAGUUAGUUUCCUCUCCAAGUAAAAGAGACUCAAAAUUGCACUGAUUCAACAAGGCAGACUAUUUCUCUCUAACGUAAAAGUUGGGAAGGACACAGUCCAGGGCUUUUAUGGCAGUUCUGUCUCACAGUCCUCAAAGACCUAGAUCCUGUUCAAGGAACUAGGAUGGAUAUGCCAUUUGUCCUUUAAGAAGUUUUCUGGAAGCCACGCAAUACCUCUACUGAAAAUGCUGGUUGGAAUUUUGUCAUGUGGCUCCAAGCUACAAGGGAGGCUGAGAGAUCUAGUGUUUGUCAUAAGGCUCUGUAUUUACCUAAAAACUGAAUAUUUUAGUAGAAUGGAAAAUGGUAAGAUUGGAUGCUGAAUAUAGGUAGGUCUU